UGAGGAAUAUUGGUCAAUGGAGGCAACUCUGAACCAGCCAUGCCGCGUGAAGGAUGACUGCCCUACGGGUUGUAAACUUCUUUUUUACGGGACGAAACUGACCUACGUGUAGGUUACUGACGGUACCGUAUGAAUAAGCAUCGGCUAACUCCGUGCCAGCAGCCGCGGUAAUACGGAGGAUGCAAGCGUUAUCCGGAUUUAUUGGGUUUAAAGGGUGCGUAGGCGGGAUAAUAAGUCAGUGGUGAAAUACUGUCGCUUAACGAUAGCAUUGCCAUUGAUACUGUUGUUCUUGAGUAUAGUUGAGGUGGGCGGAAUGUGUAGUGUAGCGGUGAAAUGCUUAGAGAUUACACAGAACACCGAUUGCGAAGGCAGCUCACUAAACUGUAACUGACGCUGAGGC
Molecule: ribosomal RNA, 400 nt
Filed under: uncultured bacterium
Lineage: Bacteria
Description: bacterial SSU rRNA
Rfam family: Bacterial small subunit ribosomal RNA
Source: RNAcentral